UACAGAGGCCUCGAGCGUUAGGCGGAAUCACUGGGCUUAAAGCGCGUGUAGGCGGCUCGUUAAGUGCCUUGUGAAAUCCCACGGCUCAACCGUGGAACUGCUGGGCAUACUGGCGAUCUUGGGCCACUCAGGGGUUGCCGGAACAAACGGUGGAGCGGUGAAAUGCGUAGAUAUCGGGAGGAAUACCUAUGGCGAAAGCAGGCUACUGGACCAUCACUGACUCUGAUCUGCGAAAGCUAGGGGAGCAAACAGG
Molecule: ribosomal RNA, 253 nt
Filed under: uncultured bacterium
Lineage: Bacteria
Description: partial 16S ribosomal RNA
Rfam family: Bacterial small subunit ribosomal RNA
Source: RNAcentral